This 824-nucleotide long non-coding RNA is filed under the name Fukomys damarensis (Damara mole-rat). Its description in RNAcentral is "lncRNA (ENSFDAG00000027895.1)". Lineage: Eukaryota; Metazoa; Chordata; Mammalia; Rodentia; Bathyergidae. The record is from RNAcentral.
AACAGCUGGCUUGUGCCCUUCCCUGGAAAACAAAAGAAAUGCCUGUCUGAAUGUCCCUGUCUGAAUGUCCCUGGCAAAUCUGUCGUCUCUUUCUCAAGCCCAGUGACAAGGGAGCGGACACCGGGCCGGACAGCUUUUGCCAAGCACCUGGCUUCUCUACCGCCUUUGCAACGGCCCCUCUCAGACACCGCAUCUCGACGUCAGCCAAGCAGGGGACACAGGGAUGCACCUCUAUGGUAUUCUCCUGAAGACAAAACAAAACAAAAUUCACCUUUAAUAUUCUUAAGCCCGUGUCACUGCAGGUGAAGAAUCAAAGUAUUAAAAUAUUUACAGUUGGAAGUACAGACUCUUCACUGUUUUGACUAAAUGGUAAGCAGCUGCAAUAAACCUUAGCUCUGUAGGCGGCUCCUUAGGAAUCUAGCUACGAAAGCAAUUUUUAAUAGCCCCCUACCCUAGGAAGCUGUGUCUGCAGACGACACGAAUGAGCUCCGCCACCAUCAGAACCUCUCUGGCCCGUUUCUUUUAUCUUGCUUUAUUUUUAUUUACUUUUAAAAUAGGAGCGUCAAGUUAAAUGAGUUUCAGAGAUUUCAUACUUUCAAAACUGCCUACUUUCAAAAAAUGCUUCACAGAUCUUAAAAUGAGGUGGUAGGUGAGACUCGACUCUGGGGAAUAGUAACUAUGCAUACAACAAAAAUCUGAUCCGACAGGAGACAGUUACAAGGUAGCUGCGAGGAAUCCCUUCAGGCCCCCUGGCAUUUCAUCCUGGAAACUUCGUCACCGCCUCACAAGAAAGACUUCAGAGUGCAAAUGAGGAAAGAGAAGCU